Caenorhabditis elegans is the source of this 163-nucleotide non-coding RNA. NCBI's taxonomy places the organism in Eukaryota, Metazoa, Nematoda, Chromadorea, Rhabditida, Rhabditidae. The record is from Ensembl.
AAACUGGCGUCAUUUCCCGGAAAGCCGAAAAGCGGGUCGGUUCCCAUCUUCAUGCUCAUCCCGUACUUUUGUGCCCGGUCUAAAUUAUUCAACCAAUUAGCUCAUCUAAUUCGGUUUAUAAGAUGUAAACACAGAAAAUGGGUUGCGAAAUACUUUCGGUCUU